RNAcentral lists this ribosomal RNA (371 nucleotides) under uncultured organism. RNAcentral's name for it is "bacterial SSU rRNA". It matches the Rfam family "Bacterial small subunit ribosomal RNA", at positions 526 to 896 of the family's 1533-position model. The record is from RNAcentral.
CGUAGGGUGCAAGCGUUAAUCGGAAUUACUGGGCGUAAAGCGUGCGCAGGCGGUAAUGUAAGACAGGUGUGAAAUCCCCGGGCUUAACCUGGGAACUGCAUUUGUGACUGCAUUGCUGGAGUGCGGCAGAGGGGGAUGGGAAUUCCGCGUGUAGCAGUGAAAUGCGUAGAUAUGCGGAGGAACACCGAUGGCGAAGGCAAUCCCCUGGGCCUGCACUGACGCUCAUGCACGAAAGCGUGGGGAGCAAACAGGAUUAGAUACCCUGGUAGUCCACGCCCUAAACGAUGUCAACUGGUUGUUGGUCCUUCACUGGAUCAGUAACGAAGCUAACGCGUGAAGUUGACCGCCUGGGGAGUACGGCCGCAAGGUUG